RNAcentral lists this ribosomal RNA (253 nucleotides) under uncultured Methylomonas sp. Its description in RNAcentral is "partial 16S ribosomal RNA". It matches the Rfam family "Bacterial small subunit ribosomal RNA", at positions 524 to 776 of the family's 1533-position model. Lineage: Bacteria; Pseudomonadati; Pseudomonadota; Gammaproteobacteria; Methylococcales; Methylococcaceae. The record is from RNAcentral.
UACGGAGGGUGCAAGCGUUAAUCGGAAUUACUGGGCGUAAAGCGUGCGUAGGCGGUUAUUUAAGUCAGAUGUGAAAGCCCCGGGCUUAACCUGGGAACUGCAUUUGAUACUGGGUAACUAGAGUUUAGUAGAGGAGAGUGGAAUUUCAGGUGUAGCGGUGAAAUGCGUAGAGAUCUGAAGGAACACCAGUGGCGAAGGCGACUCUCUGGACUAAAACUGACGCUGAGGUACGAAAGCGUGGGUAGCAAACAGG